RNAcentral lists this transfer RNA (69 nucleotides) under Bathyraja maculata (white-blotched skate). RNAcentral's name for it is "tRNA-Asp". It matches the Rfam family "tRNA". From Rfam's summary of the family: Transfer RNA (tRNA) molecules are approximately 80 nucleotides in length. Their secondary structure includes four short double-helical elements and three loops (D, anti-codon, and T loops). Further hydrogen bonds mediate the characteristic L-shaped molecular structure. tRNAs have two regions of fundamental functional importance: the anti-codon, which is responsible for specific mRNA codon recognition, and the 3' end, to which the tRNAs corresponding amino acid is attached (by aminoacyl-tRNA synthetases). tRNAs cope with the degeneracy of the genetic code in two manners: having more than one tRNA (with a specific anti-codon) for a particular amino acid; and 'wobble' base-pairing, i.e. permitting non-standard base-pairing at the 3rd anti-codon position. Lineage: Eukaryota; Metazoa; Chordata; Chondrichthyes; Rajiformes; Arhynchobatidae. The record is from RNAcentral.
AAGAUUCUAGUAAAACCAUUACAUUACCUUGUCAAGGUAAAAUUGUGGGUUAAACUCCCACGAAUCUUA